UAAUGAACAGUUAAUUCACUAUCGAUUAUUUUACAAGAACAAUCUGAUUAAACUACAUAUGUAAAUGACAUCAAAGUAGUAUAAGAAUAAGAGUUUAUAGUAUGGUUAGAUAUAUAUGUUUACGUUGAACAGUAAUUAAUCCCAUUAGUUGACAUCAGAGUAGUAUAAGAAUCAGCUUUUGUUUCAUAAGCCGUAUAUAGCACCAUUAAAAUGCUCUGACACAAAAUCUGAUUUUGACCUAGUUUGUC
Molecule: long non-coding RNA, 248 nt
Filed under: Capsella rubella
Lineage: Eukaryota; Viridiplantae; Streptophyta; Magnoliopsida; Brassicales; Brassicaceae
Description: long non-coding RNA (CRUB_LNC004457)
Source: RNAcentral